RNAcentral lists this small nuclear RNA (102 nucleotides) under Haemaphysalis longicornis (longhorned tick). Lineage: Eukaryota; Metazoa; Arthropoda; Arachnida; Ixodida; Ixodidae. The record is from RNAcentral.
GUACUCCAAAGUACAUAUACUAAAAUUGGAACGAUACAGAGAAGAUUAGCAUGGCCCCUGCGCAAGGAUGACACGCAAAAUCGUGAAGCGUUCCACAUUUUU